Molecule: non-coding RNA, 81 nt
Filed under: Candidatus Pelagibacteraceae bacterium
Lineage: Bacteria; Pseudomonadati; Pseudomonadota; Alphaproteobacteria; Candidatus Pelagibacterales; Candidatus Pelagibacteraceae
Source: RNAcentral
GAAUGGGGAAGUCGGUGAAAAUCCGACGCUGACCCGCAACCGUGAGCCUGCUUGAGAAUUAGCAGGUAAGUCGGAUUACCA